UCAUUGGGCACUGGCACGUAUAGUUGGGGUCAGUUCCUGGGUCCUGCACAGUCUCUGGCCCCUAUUGUCCCUUGUCCAGGUGCAAGUAUCUCUAGAACUGUGUGGUGCCCUCGUAGAUCUUCAGCUAGGAAAGGGAGCAGUCCUCCUGUGUGUAUCGUGUGUCUGUAGUGCAGAGCAAUAGAGUGCUCUCUAACAGUGAGCUGGGCACAAUUAGGGCGCCAGGUAGGGAGGCUUGGGGUAUGGUGGACCUUUCUGAGUACUAGUUACUACAAAGCAAAUGUAACUUUAUAAGGCCACUGUCUACAAGAAUGACUGUAAGGGGUCACACAGUGAGAAACUGGACUGUUAACAAGUAAUGGGUGAGACCUAGGUUAGGGUGCCUGGUUAGCCACACCCCAAGAUAUGAGUCAAAGAUGUAUGUUUGAAAAAUGUCCCACUAACGUCUCCCUCCACGUUCCACAAUUCUGGCCUUUGAACGUGUGGCAGUGGGUUUGGCAGACAGUGAACAUGUCUUGCUAAACCUGCUGUUUGGGCCUGGUGUACUUGCCUGCUCAGACAGUGAACGUGCUGGAAGUGACUAGACUGCAAGCUGCUGUCCUGUCUGUUCUUUACAGCUUCUUUUUGAUUUCCUGGCAUUUAAAAAUGACAUCAGUUUCUGGAAGAAAAAGAAGAGCAUGAUUGGAAUGUCUACCAAAGCAGUGCUCUGGCGUUGCUUCAGCACUGUGGUCAUCUUCCUCUUCCUGCUGGAUGAACAGACAAGCCUGCUGGUGCUGAUCCCUGCAGGUGUUGGGGCUGCCAUUG
RNAcentral lists this long non-coding RNA (801 nucleotides) under Rattus norvegicus (Norway rat). RNAcentral describes it as "long non-coding RNA NONRATT002049". The record is from RNAcentral. Lineage: Eukaryota; Metazoa; Chordata; Mammalia; Rodentia; Muridae.